GACGAACGCUGGCGGCGUGCCUAAUACAUGCAAGUUGAGCGAUGAAGAUUGGUGCUUGCACCAAUUUGAAGAGCAGCGAACGGGUGAGUAACGCGUGGGGAAUCUGCCUUUGAGCGGGGGACAACAUUUGGAAACGAAUGCUAAUACCGCAUAACAACUUUAAACAUAAGUUUUAAGUUUGAAAGAUGCAAUUGCAUCACUCAAAGAUGAUCCCGCGUUGUAUUAGCUAGUUGGUGAGGUAAAGGCUCACCAAGGCGAUGAUACAUAGCCGACCUGAGAGGGUGAUCGGCCACAUUGGGACUGAGACACGGCCCAAACUCCUACGGGAGGCAGCAGUAGGGAAUCUUCGGCAAUGGACGAAAGUCUGACCGAGAAACGCCGCGUGAGUGAAGAAGGUUGUCGGAUCGUAAAACUCUGUUGGUAGAGAAGAACGUUGGUGAGAGUGGAAAGCUCAUCAAGUGACGGUAACUACCCAGAAAGGGACGGCUAACUACGUG
RNAcentral lists this ribosomal RNA (497 nucleotides) under uncultured bacterium. RNAcentral describes it as "partial 16S ribosomal RNA". It matches the Rfam family "Bacterial small subunit ribosomal RNA", at positions 28 to 507 of the family's 1533-position model. The record is from RNAcentral.